GAGUUUGAUCCUGGCUCACAACGAACGCUGGCGGCGUGCUUAACACAUGCAAGUCGAACGCGAAAGUUUUCUUCUGAAGAUGAGUAGAGUGGCGCACGGGUGAGUAACGCGUAAGUAAUCUACCCAGGCAUCUGGAAUAACUCAGCGAAAGCUGUGCUAAUACCGGAUACGCCGGUAACGGGAAAGGUGGCCUCUGUUUCAUGCUACCGUGCUUGGAGGAGCUUGCGUACCAUUAGCUAGUAGGUAGGGUAACGGCCUACCUAGGCGACGAUGGUUAGCGGGUCUGAGAGGAUGAUCCGCCACACUGGAACUGGAACACGGACCAGACUCCUACGGGAGGCAGCAGUGAGGAAUAUUGCGCAAUGGGGUAACCCCUGACGCAGCGACGCCGCGUGGAUGAUGAAGGCCUUCGGGUCGUAAAAUCCUGUCAGAUGGAAAGAAGUGCAUAUAUGCUAAUAUCAUGUAUGUUUGACGGUACCAUCAGAGGAAGCACCGGCUAACUCCGUGCCAGCAGCCGCGGUAAUACGGAGGGUGCGAGCGUUGUUCGGAAUUACUGGGCGUAAAGCGCGCGUAGGCGGUUUUGUAAGUCAGAUGUGAAAGUCCCCGGCUCAACCGUGGAAGUGCAUUUGAAACUGCAAGACUUGAGUACUGGAGGGGGUAGUGGAAUUCCCGGUGUAGAGGUGAAAUUCGUAGAUAUCGGGAGGAAUACCGGUGGCGAANGCGACUGCCUGGCCAGAUACUGACGCUGANGUGCGAAAGCGUGGGGAGCAAACAGGAUUAGAUACCCUGGUAGUC
Molecule: ribosomal RNA, 795 nt
Filed under: uncultured marine bacterium
Lineage: Bacteria
Description: bacterial SSU rRNA
Rfam family: Bacterial small subunit ribosomal RNA
Source: RNAcentral